RNAcentral lists this ribosomal RNA (465 nucleotides) under Vreelandella stevensii. RNAcentral describes it as "partial 16S ribosomal RNA". It matches the Rfam family "Bacterial small subunit ribosomal RNA", at positions 338 to 795 of the family's 1533-position model. Lineage: Bacteria; Pseudomonadati; Pseudomonadota; Gammaproteobacteria; Oceanospirillales; Halomonadaceae. The record is from RNAcentral.
CCUACGGGUGGCUGCAGUGGGGAAUAUUGGACAAUGGGCGAAAGCCUGAUCCAGCCAUGCCGCGUGUGUGAAGAAGGCCUUCGGGUGGUAAAGCACUUUCAGUGGGGAAGAAAGCCUUGGGGCUAAUACCCUCGAGGAAGGACAUCACCCACAGAAGAAGCACCGGCUAACUCCGUGCCAGCAGCCGCGGUAAUACGGAGGGUGCGAGCGUUAAUCGGAAUUACUGGGCGUAAAGCGCGCGUAGGCGGUCUGAUAAGCCGGUUGUGAAAGCCCCGGGCGCAACCUGGGAACGGCAUCCGGAACUGUCAGGCUAGAGUGCAGGAGAGGAAGGUAGAAUUCCCGGUGUAGCGGUGAAAUGCGUAGAGAUCGGGAGGAAUACCAGUGGCGAAGGCGGCCUUCUGGACUGACACUGACGCUGAGGUGCGAAAGCGUGGGUAGCAAACAGGAUUAGAUACCCGAGUAGUC